Balaenoptera ricei (Rice's whale) is the source of this 153-nucleotide long non-coding RNA. RefSeq lists it as uncharacterized. The transcript is spliced from 3 exons. Lineage: Eukaryota; Metazoa; Chordata; Mammalia; Artiodactyla; Balaenopteridae. The record is from RefSeq and is a predicted model, not a curated record.
UGGACCUGCGUUUCUAAAGUGUAAUUAGAGAAAGGAGAGAGUAAUAGGAAACAAGAAGAAUAACAAAAGACGGGACAUUAGUCCCAUCUUUCAGCAAAGCGUCAUUGGGGUCUUCAAGUCGUCGCAGAGCCUUGGUCUGGAAAUCGAUCCCGC